GGGGCUGAUUUUGGAUUCGACGGGAUUGGCGAAGCCCAAGGUGCAUGUCGAGGUGCGGUAGGCCUCGUAAACAAACCGCAAAAUAAUAGUCGCAAACGACGAACAAUACGCUUUAGCAGCUUAAUAACCUGCUUUAAAGCCUUAUCUCCUCAGCUUCCGCUCGUAAGACGAGGGCAAAGAUAAGUCACCCAAAACGAGAUCGUGUGGACGCCGCCGCUUUAGGAUCGAAACACUAAAUUAAAUAAAGCUAGUUUAUUCAUUGCGUGUCUGUCCGCUGUGAAUAAGCGAAAUUAAAGACUAGACUAAACAUGUAGUACUGAAGGUAGAGAAAUUUCGGACGGGGGUUCAAAUCCCCCCAGCUCCACCA
Molecule: non-coding RNA, 367 nt
Organism: Mannheimia haemolytica M42548
Lineage: Bacteria; Pseudomonadati; Pseudomonadota; Gammaproteobacteria; Pasteurellales; Pasteurellaceae
Source: Rfam